CAUGUCUUUUUGAUUAUAAUUUAAAGUCUGACCUGCCCUAUGAAUUAUUUUUAAAUGGCUGCGGUAUUUUGACCGUACAAAGGUAGCAUAAUAAUUAGUUUUUUAAUUGGGAACUGGUAUGAAUGGUCGAACGAGAAAAAGACUGUCUCAAUUUAAGUUUAAUUAGAAUUUUAUAUUUAAGUUAAAAAGCUUAAAUAAAUUUAAAAGACGAGAAGACCCUAUAGAGUUUUAUAUAAUUUUGGUUGUUUAAAAGUUUAAGAAUAGUAAAUUUAAAUAAUUAUGUUUAUAUUUGGUUGGGGCGAUUAAAAAAUUUAAAUAACUUUUUUUAUUUAAUUACAUUGAUAUAUGUUUAAAUGAUCCAUACUUUAUGAUUAUAAGAUUAAAUUACCUUAGGGAUAACAGCGUAAUUUUUUUUUAGAGUUCUUAUCGAAAAAAAAGUUUGCGAC
Molecule: ribosomal RNA, 446 nt
Filed under: Eurysternus hamaticollis
Lineage: Eukaryota; Metazoa; Arthropoda; Insecta; Coleoptera; Scarabaeidae
Description: partial 16S ribosomal RNA
Source: RNAcentral